This 362-nucleotide ribosomal RNA is filed under the name uncultured bacterium. RNAcentral's name for it is "partial 16S ribosomal RNA". It matches the Rfam family "Bacterial small subunit ribosomal RNA", at positions 338 to 698 of the family's 1533-position model. The record is from RNAcentral.
CCUACGGGUGGCAGCAGUGAGGAAUAUUGGUCAAUGGUCGGGAGACUGAACCAGCCAAGCCGCGUGAGGGAUGAAGGUACAGAGUAUCGUAAACCUCUUUUGUCAGGGAACAAAGGCGGGGACGUGUCCCCGGAUGAGUGUACCUGAAGAAAAAGCAUCGGCUAACUCCGUGCCAGCAGCCGCGGUAAUACGGAGGAUGCGAGCGUUAUCCGGAUUUAUUGGGUUUAAAGGGUGCGCAGGCGGGCUGUUAAGUCAGCGGUCAAAGCCCGGGGCUCAACCCGGGCCCGCCGUUGAAACUGGCAGUCUCGAGUUGGAGAGGAGUAUGCGGAAUGGGGGGUGUAGCGGGGAAAUGCAUAGAUAUC